AGUGAACGCUGGCGGUAGGCCUAACACAUGCAAGUCGAACGGCAGCACAGUAAGAGCUUGCUCUUACGGGUGGCGAGUGGCGGACGGGUGAGGAAUACAUCGGAAUCUACUUUUUCGUGGGGGAUAACGUAGGGAAACUUACGCUAAUACCGCAUACGACCUACGGGUGAAAGCAGGGGAUCUUCGGACCUUGCGCGAUUGAAUGAGCCGAUGUCGGAUUAGCUAGUUGGCGGGGUAAAGGCCCACCAAGGCGACGAUCCGUAGCUGGUUGGAGAGGAUGAUCAGCCACACUGGAACUGAGACACGGUCCAGACUCCUACGGGAGGCAGCAGUGGGGAAUAUUGGACAAUGGGCGCAAGCCUGAUCCAGCCAUACCGCGUGGGUGAAGAAGGCCUUCGGGUUGUAAAGCCCUUUUGUUGGGAAAGAAAAGCAGCAGGUUAAUACCCCGCUGUUCUGACGGUACCCAAAGAAUAAGCACCGGCUAACUUCGUG
This 492-nucleotide ribosomal RNA is filed under the name uncultured bacterium. RNAcentral describes it as "partial 16S ribosomal RNA". It matches the Rfam family "Bacterial small subunit ribosomal RNA", at positions 29 to 507 of the family's 1533-position model. The record is from RNAcentral.